Molecule: ribosomal RNA, 888 nt
Filed under: uncultured Pelagibacterales bacterium
Lineage: Bacteria; Pseudomonadati; Pseudomonadota; Alphaproteobacteria; Candidatus Pelagibacterales
Description: bacterial SSU rRNA
Rfam family: Bacterial small subunit ribosomal RNA
Source: RNAcentral
CUCUGAUGCAGCGAUGCCGCGUGAGUGAAGAAGGCCCUUGGGUUGUAAAGCUCUUUCGUCGGGGAAGAAAAUGACUGUACCCGAAUAAGAAGGUCCGGCUAACUUCGUGCCAGCAGCCGCGGUAAUACGAAGGGACCUAGCGUAGUUCGGAAUUACUGGGCUUAAAGAGUUCGUAGGUGGUUGAAAAAGUUAGUGGUGAAAUCCCAGAGCUUAACUCUGGAACUGCCAUUAAAACUUUUCAGCUAGAGUAUGAUAGAGGAAAGCAGAAUUUCUAGUGUAGAGGUGAAAUUCGUAGAUAUUAGAAAGAAUACCAAUUGCGAAGGCAGCUUUCUGGAUCAUUACUGACACUGAGGAACGAAAGCAUGGGUAGCGAAGAGGAUUAGAUACCCUCGUAGUCCAUGCCGUAAACGAUGUGUGUUAGACGUUGGAAAUUUAUUUUCAGUGUCGCAGGGAAACCGAUAAACACACCGCCUGGGGAGUACGACCGCAAGGUUAAAACUCAAAUGAAUUGACGGGGACCCGCACAAGUAGUGGAGCAUGUGGUUUAAUUCGAAGAUACGCGCAGAACCUUACCAACACUUGACAUGUUCGUCGCGACUCUAAGAGAUUAGAGUUUUCGGUUCGGCCGGACGAAACACAGGUGCUGCAUGGCUGUCGUCAGCUCGUGUCGUGAGAUGUUGGGUUAAGUCCCGCAACGAGCGCAACCCUCACUUUUAGUUGCCAUCAUUAAGUUGGGCACUCUGAAAGAACUGCCAGUGAUAAGCUGGAGGAAGGUGUGGACGACGUCAAGUCAUCAUGGCCCUUACGGGUUGGGCUACACACGUGCUACAAUGGCAUCUACAGUGAGUUAAUCUCCAAAAGAUGUCUCAGUUCGGAUUGGGGUCUGCA